CCAAUGAGAAUGAAGGCUGAGGUGUGCGCCUUUUUUUUUUUUCCUUCUUAGUCGUGUGUACAUCAUUGGGAAUGGAGGGAAAUAAAUGACUGGAUGGUCGCUGCUUUUUAAGUUUCAAAUUGACAUUCCAGACAAGCGGUGCCUGAGCCCGUGCCUGUCUUCAGAUCUUCACAGCACAGUUCCUGGGAAGGUGGAGCCACCAGCCUCUCCCUGACAAGCAAAGUGGAUCAGCAAAGGCUGCAGUCACCAGCAUCUUUUCCAACCUUAAUGAACUGUAUCCUCAAAAGAACACUAUCAGACUGGCUCUGCCGACUUCCAGUUCUGGAACAAGAUGGUUAAACUCAUUUUUCCCUGCUCUGCUCCUCUAAAUACAACUAAGUACCUUGGAAACUAUUCAGCAGACAAUGAUAAAGGGCUCUGAAAGCUAGAAGAAAAGGUGUACUUGCAAGAAACCUCAGGACUUGAGUAACAGCAACAUGGCAGGCCAGAAAGCAGACCCAGGGAGGAUAGCACAUGUCUUCGGCUACACUGGUGAAGGCAUCGUGCCUGCUCCACAGCACAUUUUUAUUCAAGGAAAGGAGAAAGAGACUACCUACUGCAUUUCUGUCACUCGCUGAAAAGGACACUCUGUCAGAAAAUCUUCUAGCAAACUUCAAAGGGCAAAAUCACCCCUUGUUACUGAUAAAGCCCAGAGAGCUUCAGCAGCUAACAUUCCCUGGACAGGGCACAGCAAGGAUUUGAACCUAGGUCAGUCUGGCCAGAACACCCACAAGCUUUCCUUAACUCAGUGUGCUAUCUCCCCACGACUAGGUCACUACUGCUUUAUAAUCACCUUUGUAGCCACCAGUGGAUUUUGCUCAUCAGUAUUUUUCAGGCAAUUGAUACUUUAGAUAUUCAGCUGCAAGACGUAUGCAGUUUUCAUUGACAUCUUUUGGAGAAACUGACAAACCUGGACUUGACUUAAUGCCUUUGGAACCUUCCAAGAUGUUAUAUAACUCUAGAUAGAAGGCUGGGCCUCCAUGAUGUCAGGAAUGUUGCAUUCUUAUUUCCCCAUAGAUAAACCCAUUUGUCCACAAAGUCAAGGAGUCAGGCAGAGGCCCUUGCCAUGGGGCUUUUUAGGAUAAAGCAACAAGCCUGGACUUUGCUCUACAACAGGGUUUUGCAUAGGGAGUGGUAUGACCAGAUCCCUCAAGAAAGAAAGCUUAGAGACCAGGCCAGAGUCCACUGCAGUAGCCCAGUCAAGAGAGGAUGGUGACUUGGACUUGUAGUAGAGCCAGUUAGAAUGAAAGAAAUUGACACAUUCAGAAAUGGUUUUAGAGAUAGAGUCAAACUGGACCUGAUAAAGAACUAGAGAAGCGGAGUGAGGAUAAAGAGAAGAGCCAUGACUGACUCGGAAGAUUUUGUCUUGAAAAACUUGAGAACUCAAGACAGAGUGAAAUAAAAUCACAUGUGGGAAAAA
This 1459-nucleotide long non-coding RNA is filed under the name Homo sapiens (human). RNAcentral's name for it is "MIR4435-2 host gene". Lineage: Eukaryota; Metazoa; Chordata; Mammalia; Primates; Hominidae. The record is from RNAcentral.